UUGGAUGAGAAGGCUUUGAUGGUUCUAUGAAAACUAGCCGUUAGGCUGAUUUGUUGCCUUUGGAGUAGACUGAUCUUGUAUCUUGAUAUCUUGGAGAAAUAUCCACGAAAUAUGAGUCUCUGGCUGCUGAUUAAACUCCUAAUGGUCUUGGUUUCUUCUGGUUCAAAGGAAUAGAGCCGUUGGUCCUUGCUCAUUAAGUGGAGACAACUUUCCUUGAAUGCAUAUGGUGUGGCCGGAUAUGGAAAGUAGAUGGUAAGGAGAAUCCGCCUGAUCCUCUGGGUGCUGGUGCAUCUAUGGAC
This 299-nucleotide long non-coding RNA is filed under the name Brassica rapa (field mustard). RNAcentral's name for it is "long non-coding RNA (BRAP_LNC008373)". Lineage: Eukaryota; Viridiplantae; Streptophyta; Magnoliopsida; Brassicales; Brassicaceae. The record is from RNAcentral.